RNAcentral lists this non-coding RNA (146 nucleotides) under Chlorocebus sabaeus (green monkey). The record is from Rfam by way of RNAcentral. Lineage: Eukaryota; Metazoa; Chordata; Mammalia; Primates; Cercopithecidae.
GCCAGGCGUGGUGGCGCACACCUGUAAUCCCAGCUACUGGGAGGCUGAGACAGGAGAGUCGCUUGAACCCUGGAGGCAGAUCUUGCAGUGAGCCAAGAUCAUGCACUGCACUCCAGCCUGGGUGACAGAGCGAGACUCUGUCUCAA